CUUACCCUUGGGAAGUGAGCACGCGCAGUGCGUUUAGGAAGUUGUACGCAUACCCAACUGAAGCUUUCUUCCCUUCUCCAGUGGAGUGCACCUGCACAGAAACUCUCUCUGUACCACGUACCUGCUGCCAGAAGCUGGGAAGGAGUGGUGCUGGUGAUUCAAAACUGAUUUUCCUGCCUCUUCGAUGCCUCUUUUAGUGACAUACAGUUAAGACCAGGCACUGCUGGACUGAAGUGGCAUGAUCACAGCUCGCUGCAACCUUAACCUCUUGGUCUCAAUUGAUCCUCCUACCUGAACCUCUCAAGUAGAGCUGGGACUACAGUGCACACCACCAUGCCCAGCAAUGUGUGAAAGAGCCUCUUUCCCUACUGCUUCACCAAGUUUAAAACUUCAAAUUUUUUCAACUUGAUAGGUCAGAAGGAAACUACUUGCUCAAAAGGAGACCAGAGGAAUGAAAAUGUGGUAUAACCAGGAGUUGCGAAGUGGUCGUAGUUGUUCAUGUCUCAAUCUGGAUCAUCUUUGCUUUUUGCUUCUGCUUUGUGCUAUCCCUCUUCCCGUACCUCAGUUCUAUCUGGAACCAUGAUCUGUGACUGCCAUGGAAAAGUGUUGGGCAGGAGGAGGCCAGCUGGGUCUUUGAAGUUGACAAUGGAGCCAGGAAUGAAAGCUGCACUUAGGAUGAGAAUUGCUUUCCCUGGAGCCAAGUCAGCAAAUGCAGUCUGGUUGUCAGAGCUGAGAGGCUUCACCAAGUCAAGUAGGGGAGGACAUCUUCACUCUGCAACUUGCCCUACUGAAUGCAGAAAGUACUGUCUACUUAGAUAAAGCCUACACUAAAAGGGAAUUGAAUCUCUGCAAAUAAGUAUGUGGAUCUAAUUUCUACCUUCCAGAUUAAAAGUAUAAU
RNAcentral lists this long non-coding RNA (898 nucleotides) under Homo sapiens (human). Its description in RNAcentral is "HSALNT0361788". Lineage: Eukaryota; Metazoa; Chordata; Mammalia; Primates; Hominidae. The record is from RNAcentral.